Molecule: small RNA, 325 nt
Filed under: Histoplasma capsulatum
Lineage: Eukaryota; Fungi; Ascomycota; Eurotiomycetes; Onygenales; Ajellomycetaceae
Also listed under: 1 other name
Description: hypothetical RNA
Source: RNAcentral
CCACCCUACGUUUUUGUCCAACUCCCUUGCCGCUUUUGGGUCCCCGUUUCCCUAAGCCUUCUCCCCUGGCUGCCCCUGGCAUUUCUAAGCGCGGGCGGCCCACCAUGAUCCACCCACCCGCCAGGUACAUGGGCGUUAGUCGUAAACUAUGCCGCUAUGAUCUGCAAGGCCCAGAUCCGGCGACAGGGAGUCUUUCGGCUAUUGGUACAGUAGAUUUUGUAUUAUAAUUGGUACGGUAUAUACAGGACGUCUGUAUCCAUGUAGCCCAGGCUGUGCUGCCGCAAUUGUUGACGGAGAGUACAUGUAAAUGAUAGCGAUAACAGUA